CCUACGGGUGGCAGCAGUAAGGAAUAUUGGUCAAUGGACGCAAGUCUGAACCAGCCAUGCCGCGUGGAGGAUGAAGGUCCUCUGGAUUGUAAACUUCUUUUAUUUGGGAAGAAACUCCCGAUUUCCAUCGGGAUUGACGGUACCAGAUGAAUAAGCACCGGCUAACUCCGUGCCAGCAGCCGCGGUAAUACGGAGGGUGCAAGCGUUACCCGGGUUAAAUGGUUUUAAAGGGUGCGUGUAUGUGAGGGGUGAAAUCUCCGGGCUUAACCCGGAAACUGCCAUUGAUACUAUUUGUCUUGAAUACUCUGGAGGUGAGCGGAAUAUGUCAUGUAGCGGUGAAAUGCUUAGAUAUGACAUAGAACACCCAUUGCGAAGGCAGCUCACUACGGAAAUAUUGACGCUGAGGCACGAAAGCGUGGGGAUCAAACAGGAUUAGAUACCCUUGUAGUC
This 450-nucleotide ribosomal RNA is filed under the name uncultured bacterium. RNAcentral's name for it is "partial 16S ribosomal RNA". It matches the Rfam family "Bacterial small subunit ribosomal RNA", at positions 338 to 795 of the family's 1533-position model. The record is from RNAcentral.